RNAcentral lists this ribosomal RNA (105 nucleotides) under Staphylococcus aureus. The record is from RNAcentral. Lineage: Bacteria; Bacillati; Bacillota; Bacilli; Caryophanales; Staphylococcaceae.
UGGUGACUAUAGCAAGGAGGUCACACCUGUUCCCAUGCCGAACACAGAAGUUAAGCUCCUUAGCGUCGAUGGUAGUCGGCUUGACGAAGUGAAAACGUUUGAAUC